AACGAACGCUGGCGGCGCGUCUUAAGCAUGCAAGUCGAACGGCAAGAGAGGAGCUUGCUUCUCUCCUAGAGUGGCGGACUGGUGAGGAACACGUGGGUAAUCUACCCUUAAGAUGGGGAUAGCUGCUAGAAAUAGCAGGUAAUACCGAAUACACUCGGCAUAUCACAAGAGGUGUUGAGGAAAGGAAGCUACGGCUUCGCUUGAGGAUGAGCUUGCGUCCCAUUAGCUAGUUGGUGAGGUAAAGGCCCACCAAGGCGACGAUGGGUAUCCGGCCUGAGAGGGUGAACGGACACAUUGGGACUGAGAUACGGCCCAAACUCCUACGGGAGGCAGCAGCUAAGAAUAUUCCGCAAUGGACGGAAGUCUGACGGAGCGACGCCGUGUGGAUGAAGAAGGCUGAAAAGUUGUAAAAUCCUUUUGUUGAUGAAGAAUAAGGGUGAGAGGGAAUGCUCAUCUGAUGACGGUAAUCGACGAAUAAGCCCCGGCUAAUUACGUG
This 496-nucleotide ribosomal RNA is filed under the name uncultured bacterium. RNAcentral's name for it is "partial 16S ribosomal RNA". It matches the Rfam family "Bacterial small subunit ribosomal RNA", at positions 29 to 507 of the family's 1533-position model. The record is from RNAcentral.